AACACAACCAGCUGGUCUAACAAUGCAAGCUUCUCAUCUUCAAGUGUCUUGACCUCCUCUUCUACCAUCUGCAACUCUCUCCCCAGUCCAAAGCUUUCUUCCUCCAACAGCAAAUACUUCCUUCUGAGAGCACGAUAUUCAUUCCCUGAUGUAGAGGAGUCGGGCAAUGAAUCUGAGUUUGAUCUCUCCUGUUGCUGGAUCAUCGGAGACCCCUCAUUCUUCAAGCUCCUUUUGGAAGCCUUCUGGUUUGCUCUUAAAGGCCCCUUUACGUGUUGAACCUCUCUGAUGUCAUUACCUUGAAAAGGAUUCAAGGAAGCUCUAGAGGUUGAGAUCUUUUUGCGUGGCUCGGAGUUUGUGAUUUCCCCUGAAGGUAGCAUCCUUGGAUCUUGCAUGAUCUUAGCAAGCAGAAUCGAUUUGGGUAUGCAUGUCGUUUAUCUUCUUCAUCUCUCUGUUAUGCUCCUUUUUUCUGUAGAACGGGAGGAGAAGACGAAGGCGGUGGUGGCACUGAUAGGGUUAGCCGGAUUUUUGAGAAUGAGCGGAAAUGGAGGACUAACCCACGGAAUAG
This 565-nucleotide unclassified non-coding RNA is filed under the name Hevea brasiliensis (rubber tree). The record is from RNAcentral. Lineage: Eukaryota; Viridiplantae; Streptophyta; Magnoliopsida; Malpighiales; Euphorbiaceae.